Long non-coding RNA from Rhineura floridana, 239 nucleotides. RefSeq lists it as uncharacterized. NCBI's taxonomy places the organism in Eukaryota, Metazoa, Chordata, Lepidosauria, Squamata, Rhineuridae. The transcript has 3 exons. The record is from RefSeq and is a predicted model, not a curated record.
CUUGGAGAACUUGGAUUUGUUUGGUGGACUCUUCAGCUUGCAGUUGAUAGGCUUUUCUCUCUUCUUCCAACAGAGCUGUAAGUACAACGAGAGGAUCUGAAGUUUUGAUUGAUUAUGCUUCAUUAGAUACUUCCCAGCAGACAAGGCAAGGCAUGGUCACCUUGAAAGACUGCAAUACGGUGGAAUGAACCUCAUAAAGUAACAUAAUAAUCACCCUUAAUUCAAGUAUACUAAUGAAA